RNAcentral lists this long non-coding RNA (1218 nucleotides) under Anas platyrhynchos platyrhynchos (common mallard). RNAcentral describes it as "lncRNA (ENSAPLG00000025508.1)". Lineage: Eukaryota; Metazoa; Chordata; Aves; Anseriformes; Anatidae. The record is from RNAcentral.
UGUGGGGGGAAAAAUUGGGUCAAAAAGUAGUGUGUGGGGGGAAAAAUGGAUGGAAAGGAGCCCCAGAAUGGGACGUGCAGUGGGAAAAAUGGGUCAAAAAGGAGAGUGGUGGGGAAAAGUGGGUCAAAAGGGGCCCCAAAAUGGGUGGAAAGGAGCCCCAAAAUGGGAUGUGUGGGGAAAAACUGGGUCAAAAAGUAGUGUGUGGGGGGAAAGUGGGUCAAAAGGAGCCCCAAAAUGGGAUGUGAGGUGGGAAAAAUGGGUCAAAAUGGAGAGUGGGGGGGGGAAAUGGGUGGAAAGGAGCCUCAGAAUGGGUCAAAAGGAGCCCCAAAAAGGGAUGUGGGGGAAAAAAUCAGGUCAAAAAGGAGGUUGUGGGGGGAAAAAUGGGUAGAAAGGAGACACAAAAUGGGAUGUGGGGGGAAAAAUUGGGUCAAAAAGGAGAGUGGUGGGGGAAAAUGGGUGAAAAGGAGCCCCAAAAUGGGAUGUGGGGUGGGAAAAUUGGUCAAAAAGAGAGCAGUAGGGAAAAAUGGGUGCAAAGGAGCCCCAAAAUGGGAUGCGGGGAAAAAAACGGUCAAAAAGGAGUCCCAAAAUAAGAUGUAGGGUGGAAAAAACAAGCCAAAAGGGAGAGUGGUGGGGAAAAGUGGGUUGAAAGGAGCCCCAGAAUGGGUGGAAAGGAGCCCCAAAAUGGGAUGUGAGGUGGGAAAAAUGGGUCAAAAAGGAGUGUGUGUGGGAAAAACAGGUCAAAAGGAGCCCCAAAAUGGGAUGUGGGGGGAAUAAUUGGGUCAAAAAGGAGUGUGUGGGGGAAAAAUGGGUCAAAAGGAGACCCAGAAUGAGAUGUGGGGUGGGAAAAAUGGGUGGAAAAGUAGUGUGGUGGGGAAAAAAUGGGUCAAAAGGAGCCCCAAAAUGGGAUGUGGGGAAAAAAAAAUGGGUCGGGAUGGAGAGUGGCGGAGAAAAAUGGGUGAAAAGGAGCCCAAAAUGGGUCAAAAGGAACACCCACAUGAAGUGUAGGGUGGGAAAAAUGGGUCAAAAGUAGUGCGAGGGAGAAAAAAUGGGUCAAAAAGGAGCAUGGUGGGAACAAAUGGGUGGAAAAGGAGCCCCAAAAUGGGUCCAAAGGAGCCCCAAAAUGAGUCAAAAUGCAUUAAAUAUGGAUUUGGGUAAAUAACUACUGAUUUGGGUAAUUAAAUAUCGACUUGGGUAAAUAAAUAUCAGUUUGCUGGAACA